This 85-nucleotide transfer RNA is filed under the name Felis catus (domestic cat). It matches the Rfam family "tRNA". From Rfam's summary of the family: Transfer RNA (tRNA) molecules are approximately 80 nucleotides in length. The record is from Rfam by way of RNAcentral. Lineage: Eukaryota; Metazoa; Chordata; Mammalia; Carnivora; Felidae.
GCCUGGGUGGCUCAGUCGGUUAAGCAUCUGACUUCAGCUCAGGUCAUGAUCUCGCAGUUUGUGGGUUUGAGCCCCACGUCGGGCU